GACGGAGGGGGCUAGCGUUGUUCGGAAUCACUGGGCGUAAAGGGCGCGUAGGCGGAGCGGCAAGUCGGAGGUGAAAGGCCCGGGCUCAACCUGGGAACGGCCUUUGAAACUGGCGCUCUGGAGUCCGGGAGAGGAUGGCGGAAUUCCCAGUGUAGAGGUGAAAUUCGUAGAUAUUGGGAGGAACACCAGUGGCGAAGGCGGCCAUCUGGACCGGCACUGACGCUGAGGCGCGAAAGCGUGGGGAGCAAACAGG
Molecule: unclassified non-coding RNA, 253 nt
Filed under: uncultured Alphaproteobacteria bacterium
Lineage: Bacteria; Pseudomonadati; Pseudomonadota; Alphaproteobacteria
Description: contains 16S-23S intergenic spacer region
Rfam family: Bacterial small subunit ribosomal RNA
Source: RNAcentral